RNAcentral lists this ribosomal RNA (206 nucleotides) under uncultured bacterium. RNAcentral's name for it is "partial 16S ribosomal RNA". It matches the Rfam family "Bacterial small subunit ribosomal RNA", at positions 568 to 774 of the family's 1533-position model. The record is from RNAcentral.
CGCGUAGGCGGUCCGACAAGUCAGGGGUGAAAUCCUGCAGCUUAACUGCAGAAGUGCCUUUGAUACUGUCGGUCUGGAGGGAGGUAGGGGUGUGCGGAACUUCCAGUGGAGCGGUGAAAUGCGUUGAUAUUGGAAGGAACGCCGGAGGCGAAAGCGGCGCACUGGACCUCUUCUGACGCUGAGGCGCGAAAGCUAGGGAGCAAACG